Molecule: ribosomal RNA, 406 nt
Filed under: uncultured bacterium
Lineage: Bacteria
Description: partial 16S ribosomal RNA
Rfam family: Bacterial small subunit ribosomal RNA
Source: RNAcentral
AUUGAACGCUGGCGGCAGGCCUAACACAUGCAAGUCGAACGAGUGGCGGACGGGUGAGUAAUGUCUGGGAAACUGCCCGGUGGAGGGGGAUAACUACUGGAAACGGUAGCUCAUACCGCAUACCAUCGGAUGUGCCCAGAUGGGAUUAGCUAGGAGGUGGGGUAACGGCUCACCUAGGCGACGAUCCCUAGCUGGUCUGAGAGGACGACCAGCCACACUGGAACUGAGACACGGUCCAGACUCCUACGGGAGGCAGCAGGGGGGAAUAUUGAACAAUGGGCGCAAGCCUGAUGCAGCCAUGCCGCGUGUAUGAAGAAGGCCUUCGGGUUGUAAAGUACUUUCAGCGGGGAGGCGUUACGCGCAGAAGAAGCACCGGCUAACUCCGUGCCAGCAGCCGCGGUAAUUC